AGAUAUCUAUUAGUUUCUUCAUCUAGUACCUUGUUCUUUGUAGCCAAAUCAAAUCUGCAUUUUAGGGUAAUGAUUUUUCUUCUUUUUUUUGUUUGAACUCUUGCUGGCUGAAACUUUGCAGUCUUAAUUUUAGUGUAGGAUUUUGCUUAAUCUUAGAUUAAAUCUCUUGUUCAUCUUGUUUUCCUUGAGUUUGUCUGUAGGAUUAGAGUUAAUCAAGCUGAAACCUAUCUUUGACACUAGCUAUUUGCCUCUUGAGUUAUAUGAUAUCAAGUCUGAGUAUGUUCAAUUGGGUAAUUAAUGCUUGGGAUGUGCCUGUGUGCUAGUGGGUAGAGCUUGAUUUGGAUUGCCAAAGUACUUGAGUGGUAUCAGUAGUUGAUUCUGCAAUUUUUAUCCUUUGCAUC
This 401-nucleotide unclassified non-coding RNA is filed under the name Hevea brasiliensis (rubber tree). The record is from RNAcentral. Lineage: Eukaryota; Viridiplantae; Streptophyta; Magnoliopsida; Malpighiales; Euphorbiaceae.